AACGAACGCUGGCGGCAGGCCUAACACAUGCAAGUCGAACGCCGUAGCAAUACGGAGUGGCAGACGGGUGAGUAACGCGUGGGAACAUACCCUUCGGUUCGGAAUAACUCAGGGAAACUUGAGCUAAUACCGGAUACGUCCGAGGUCAAACUUGGAGAAAGAUUUAUCGCCGGAGGAUUGGCCCGCGUCUGAUUAGCUUGUUGGUGAGGUAAUGGCUCACCAAGGCGACGAUCAGUAGCUGGUCUGAGAGGAUGAUCAGCCACAUUGGGACUGAGACACGGCCAAACUCCUACGGGAGGCAGCAGUGGGGAAUAUUGGACAAUGGGCAAAGCCUGAUCCAGCCAUGCCGCGUGAGUGAUGAAGGCCCUAAGGGUUGUAAAGCUCUUUUACCCGGGAAGAUAAUGACGGUACCGGGAGAAUAAGCCCCGG
This 429-nucleotide ribosomal RNA is filed under the name uncultured bacterium. RNAcentral describes it as "bacterial SSU rRNA". It matches the Rfam family "Bacterial small subunit ribosomal RNA", at positions 29 to 496 of the family's 1533-position model. The record is from RNAcentral.